UUCUUUGCAAAUGAAAUACUUGAAUCGUAAAUUAAAUUCAUUUUUCAAGUGCACAUGUCAUUGUCAACAGUGUGUGGUGGGUAUUACCAAUCAUAAGAAGAAGGGGUCAAUAGCAGGAGGUACUGUAGUGGGACUUGGGUCAUUAGUUGUGGGUACUAUACUUGGACUUGGGGCAUUAGUUGCGGGUACUGUAGUUGUAUUUGGGGCAUUGGCCUCUGGAGCCUCUACUACUGGUGACGGGACCUCAGGUGGUGAUGGGUUGCUCGCAGGCUCUGCUUGAACGGUUUCCCCAUUAACUGUUGGAGUUCCAUCACUUGCUGAUGCAGGGGUAGGAUGUCCAUUAUCUACAACGGUUUCACCUGAUUCUGGUUUAGGCGGAGCAUCCUCUGGAACUGAUGUGGAGUCUGAGGUAGCUUCGGGCAGAGAUGGAUCGGGUACUGGUGCACCAGUGGCUUCAGGCUGUUGUGUCUGUGUAGCACUCUCUGGUACUGUUGUGGCAGUAGGAGGUGCUUCAAUUGCCAAUGGCUUGCCUGGCUGUUGUGAAUUCUGAGCAGCCGAACCUGGUUUUUUCUGGAUGGUGAUAGGAGGAGCAUUAAGAGAUGCCAUCCCAGGAGGUAAGAUUUCAAUAGGUGGCUUCUUCCCUGCAUCGGCCAAACUCGUAAGUUUAGGCUCCUCAAGAGAAGCAAGAAAUGCAGCUGUAGCAUCUGUCUUCUGUGAUGGAGUCGGCUCAAUCUCUCUCUGCAGCAUUUGGUUCCAGGACUGAACCAAGUUCCUCAAAGUUGGACGACCUUGUGCCUGCAAGUAACAAAGUCAGACUACAAGUACUAAAAUUGAGUGAUCAACUAGUUGUGUACAUAACUAAUCAUACAUGAGCAUGAAGCACAGCCUCCGCCAGCAUUCCAGUAUCCUGCCAUGCUUUUUCCAUUAGCACAUUGUCUCCCAAAACUUGCAUUCAACAUGUAAAAUUUUCAAACAGGAAAAGUUCAAAUAGAAAAGAAAACAACUCACAAGUGUCAUAUUUCACAAUCACAAUACAAGACACCUUAGUACAUCAAUAAUCUACAAAAAUCGGUAGAAUUACACUUCAGGAGUCUAGAUUUGUUACAAAAUAAUAUAUUAGACUUCCUACAUAUCCAGAAUGAUUUCUUUGCAAAUGAAAUACUUGAAUCGUAAAUUAAAUUCAUUUUUCAAGUGCACAUGUCAUUGUCAACAGUGUGUGGUGGGUAUUACCAAUCAUAAGAAGAAGGGGUCAAUAGCAGGAGGUACUGUAGUGGGACUUGGGUCAUUAGUUGUGGGUACUAUACUUGGACUUGGGGCAUUAGUUGCGGGUACUGUAGUUGUAUUUGGGGCAUUGGCCUCUGG
This 1362-nucleotide long non-coding RNA is filed under the name Lupinus angustifolius (narrow-leaved blue lupine). Its description in RNAcentral is "long non-coding RNA (LANG_LNC000626)". The record is from RNAcentral. Lineage: Eukaryota; Viridiplantae; Streptophyta; Magnoliopsida; Fabales; Fabaceae.